RNAcentral lists this ribosomal RNA (738 nucleotides) under uncultured bacterium. RNAcentral's name for it is "bacterial SSU rRNA". It matches the Rfam family "Bacterial small subunit ribosomal RNA", at positions 56 to 805 of the family's 1533-position model. The record is from RNAcentral.
UGCAAGUCGAACGAGGUUUUGGAAAGCUUGCUUUCCGAAACCUAGUGGCGGACGGGUGAGUAACGCGUGAGUAACCUGCCUUUCAGAGGGGAAUAACGUUCUGAAAAGAACGCUAAUACCGCAUAACGUACAGUUACCGCAUGGUAGCAGUACCAAAGGAGCAAUCCGCUGAAAGAUGGACUCGCGUCCGAUUAGCUAGUUGGUGGGGUAAAGGCCUACCAAGGCGACGAUCGGUAGCCGGACUGAGAGGUUGAACGGCCACAUUGGGACUGAGACACGGCCCAGACUCCUACGGGAGGCAGCAGUGGGGGAUAUUGCACAAUGGGGGAAACCCUGAUGCAGCAACGCCGCGUGUGGGAAGAAGGUUUUCGGAUUGUAAACCACUGUUCUUGGUGAAGAUAAUGACGGUAACCAAGGAGAAAGCUCCGGCUAACUACGUGCCAGCAGCCGCGGUAAUACGUAGGGAGCAAGCGUUGUCCGGAUUUACUGGGUGUAAAGGGUGCGUAGGCGGCUAGGCAAGUCAGACGUGAAAACCAUGGGCUCAACCUGUGGACUGCGUUUGAAACUGUUUAGCUUGAGUGAAGUAGAGGUAGGCGGAAUUCCCGGUGUAGCGGUGAAAUGCGUAGAGAUCGGGAGGAACACCAGUGGCGAAGGCGGCCUACUGGGCUUUAACUGACGCUGAGGCACGAAAGCAUGGGUAGCAAACAGGAUUAGAUACCCUGGUAGUCCAUGCCGUAA